This 578-nucleotide ribosomal RNA is filed under the name Fusarium fujikuroi. RNAcentral's name for it is "partial large subunit ribosomal RNA". It matches the Rfam family "Eukaryotic large subunit ribosomal RNA", at positions 65 to 668 of the family's 3401-position model. Lineage: Eukaryota; Fungi; Ascomycota; Sordariomycetes; Hypocreales; Nectriaceae. The record is from RNAcentral.
ACAAAGGGUAUUGCCUAGUACGGCGAGUGAAGCGGCAACAGCUCAAAUUUGAAAUCUGGCUCUCGGGCCCGAGUUGUAAUUUGUAGAGGAUACUUUUGAUGCGGUGCCUUCCGAGUUCCCUGGAACGGGACGCCAUAGAGGGUGAGAGCCCCGUCUGGUUGGAUGCCAAAUCUCUGUAAAGUUCCUUCGACGAGUCGAGUAGUUUGGGAAUGCUGCUCUAAAUGGGAGGUAUAUGUCUUCUAAAGCUAAAUACCGGCCAGAGACCGAUAGCGCACAAGUAGAGUGAUCGAAAGAUGAAAAGCACUUUGAAAAGAGAGUUAAAAAGUACGUGAAAUUGUUGAAAGGGAAGCGUUUAUGACCAGACUUGGGCUUGGUUAAUCAUCUGGGGUUCUCCCCAGUGCACUUUUCCAGUCCAGGCCAGCAUCAGUUUUCCCCGGGGGAUAAAGACUUCGGGAAUGUGGCUCUCUUCGGGGAGUGUUAUAGCCCGUUGUGUAAUACCCUGGGGGGGACUGAGGUUCGCGCAUCUGCAAGGAUGCUGGCGUAAUGGUCAUCAACGACCCGUCUUGAAACACGGACCA